GACGAACGCUGGCGGCGUGCUUAACACAUGCAAGUCGAACGAAGAGCGAUGGAAGCUUGCUUCUAUCAAUCUUAGUGGCGAACGGGUGAGUAACGCGUAAUCAACCUGCCCUUCAGAGGGGGACAACAGUUGGAAACGACUGCUAAUACCGCAUACGAUCUAAUCUCGGCAUCGAGGAUAGAUGAAAGGUGGCCUCUACAUGUAAGCUAUCACUGAAGGAGGGGAUUGCGUCUGAUUAGCUAGUUGGAGGGGUAACGGCCCACCAAGGCGAUGAUCAGUAGCCGGUCUGAGAGGAUGAACGGCCACAUUGGGACUGAGACACGGCCCAGACUCCUACGGGAGGCAGCAGUGGGGAAUCUUCCGCAAUGGACGAAAGUCUGACGGAGCAACGCCGCGUGAGUGAUGACGGCCUUCGGGUUGUAAAGCUCUGUUAAUCGGGACGAAAGGUCUUCUUGCGAAUAGUUAGGAGAAUUGACGGACC
Molecule: ribosomal RNA, 481 nt
Filed under: Veillonella sp. oral taxon G38
Lineage: Bacteria; Bacillati; Bacillota; Negativicutes; Veillonellales; Veillonellaceae
Description: bacterial SSU rRNA
Rfam family: Bacterial small subunit ribosomal RNA
Source: RNAcentral